RNAcentral lists this ribosomal RNA (255 nucleotides) under uncultured bacterium. RNAcentral's name for it is "partial 16S ribosomal RNA". It matches the Rfam family "Bacterial small subunit ribosomal RNA", at positions 524 to 776 of the family's 1533-position model. The record is from RNAcentral.
UACGGAGGGUGCAAGCGUUGUUCGGAAUCAUUGGGCGUAAAGGGCGCGUAGGCGGGACGUUAAGUCCGAUGUGAAAUCCCUCGGCUCAACUGAGGACGUGCAUCGGAUACUGGCGACCUUGAGUCCUGGAGAGGGUAGCGGAAUUCCCAGUGUAGAGGUGAAAUUCGUAGAUAUUGGGGAGGAACACCGGUGGCGAAGGCGGCUACCUGGACAGUGACUGACGCUGAGGCGCGAAAAGCAUGGGUAGCAAACAGG